UAACACAUGCAAGUCGAGCGGAUGAAGGGAGCUUGCUCCUGGAUUCAGCGGCGGACGGGUGAGUAAUGCCUAGGAAUCUGCCUGGUAGUGGGGGAUAACGUCCGGAAACGGGCGCUAAUACCGCAUACGUCCUGAGGGAGAAAGUGGGGGAUCUUCGGACCUCACGCUAUCAGAUGAGCCUAGGUCGGAUUAGCUAGUUGGUGGGGUAAAGGCCUACCAAGGCGACGAUCCGUAACUGGUCUGAGAGGAUGAUCAGUCACACUGGAACUGAGACACGGUCCAGACUCCUACGGGAGGCAGCAGUGGGGAAUAUUGGACAAUGGGCGAAAGCCUGAUCCAGCCAUGCCGCGUGUGUGAAGAAGGUCUUCGGAUUGUAAAGCACUUUAAGUUGGGAGGAAGGGCAGUAAGUUAAUACCUUGCUGUUUUGACGUUACCAACAGAAUAAGCACCGGCUAACUUCGUGCCAGCAGCCGCGGUAAUACGAAGGGUGCAAGCGUUAAUCGGAAUUACUGGGCGUAAAGCGCGCGUAGGUGGUUCAGCAAGUUGGAUGUGAAAUCCCCGGGCUCAACCUGGGAACUGCAUCCAAAACUACUGAGCUAGAGUACGGUAGAGGGUGGUGGAAUUUCCUGUGUAGCGGUGAAAUGCGUAGAUAUAGGAAGGAACACCAGUGGCGAAGGCGACCACCUGGACUGAUACUGACACUGAGGUGCGAAAGCGUGGGGAGCAAACAGGAUUAGAUACCCUGGUAGUCCACGCCGUAAACGAUGUCGACUAGCCGUUGGGAUCCUUGAGAUCUUAGUGGCGCAGCUAACGCGAUAAGUCGACCGCC
This 829-nucleotide ribosomal RNA is filed under the name uncultured Pseudomonadales bacterium. Its description in RNAcentral is "bacterial SSU rRNA". It matches the Rfam family "Bacterial small subunit ribosomal RNA", at positions 49 to 873 of the family's 1533-position model. The record is from RNAcentral. Lineage: Bacteria; Pseudomonadati; Pseudomonadota; Gammaproteobacteria; Pseudomonadales.